CCUACGGGAGGCAGCAGUGGGGAAUAUUGGACAAUGGGCGAAAGCCUGAUCCAGCAAUGCCGCGUGAGUGAUGAAGGCCUUCGGGUCGUAAAGCUCUUUUACCAGGGAUGAUAAUGACAGUACCUGGAGAAUAAGCUCCGGCUAACUCCGUGCCAGCAGCCGCGGUAAUACGGAGGGAGCUAGCGUUGUUCGGAAUUACUGGGCGUAAAGAGUACGUAGGCGGUUAUUCAAGUCAGAGGUGAAAGCCCGGGGCUCAACCCCGGAACUGCCUUUGAAACUAGAUAACUAGAGUCUUGGAGAGGUUAGUGGAAUUCCGAGUGUAGAGGUGAAAUUCGUAGAUAUUCGGAAGAACACCAGUGGCGAAGGCGACUAACUGGACAAGUACUGACGCUGAGGUACGAAAGCGUGGGGAGCAAACAGGAUUAGAUACCCUGGUAGUCCACGCCGUAAACGAUGAUAACUAGUUGUUCGGUCACUUGGUGACUGAGUGACGCAGCUAACGCAUUAAGUUAUCCGCCUGGGGAGUACGGUCGCAAGAUUAAACUCAAAGGAAUUGACGG
Molecule: ribosomal RNA, 560 nt
Filed under: uncultured bacterium
Lineage: Bacteria
Description: bacterial SSU rRNA
Rfam family: Bacterial small subunit ribosomal RNA
Source: RNAcentral